This 474-nucleotide ribosomal RNA is filed under the name uncultured bacterium. RNAcentral describes it as "bacterial SSU rRNA". It matches the Rfam family "Bacterial small subunit ribosomal RNA", at positions 15 to 518 of the family's 1533-position model. The record is from RNAcentral.
GAUUAUGGCUCAGGAUGAACGCUGGCGGCGUGCCUAACACAUGCAAGUCGAGCGAUCCCUCGGGGAGAGCGGCGGACGGGUGAGUAACGCGUGGGUAACCUGCCCUGUACACACGGAUAACAUACCGAAAGGUAUGCUAAUACGGGAUAAUAUAUGAAAGUUGCAUAACUUUCAUAUCAAAGCUUUUGCGGUACAGGAUGGACCCGCGUCUGAUUAGCUAGUUGGUAAGGUAACGGCUUACCAAGGCGACGAUCAGUAGCCGACCUGAGAGGGUGAUCGGCCACACUGGAACUGAGACACGGUCCAGACUCCUACGGGAGGCAGCAGUGGGGAAUAUUGCACAAUGGGCGAAAGCCUGAUGCCAGCAACGCCGCGUGAGCGAUGAAGGCCUUCGGGUCGUAAAGCUCUGUCCUCAAGGAAGAUAAUGACGGUACUUGAGGAGGAAGCCCCGGCUAACUACGUGCCAGCAGCGGC